Molecule: unclassified non-coding RNA, 229 nt
Filed under: Hevea brasiliensis (rubber tree)
Lineage: Eukaryota; Viridiplantae; Streptophyta; Magnoliopsida; Malpighiales; Euphorbiaceae
Source: RNAcentral
GUGGGCAUAUUGAAUUCCUAUGCGCGAGAAUGGCAAUGAUUUUUGGUGGAUCAAGAUUGAAAUUUUGUCCAGGAAUCCCCAAGGAAUAAUCGUUUUUUCAAAUUUUGAGACUUGCAGUUAACGGUGGUCUCCUUUUCUAUUUUUUCUCUCUCUCUCUCUCUCUCUUUUUCCCCCUUCUUCUAGUAUGGUGAGCUUUGGGUAAUUAUUGAGUUGUAAUUUGGAACUCUAA